UUCGACUGUUUACCAAAAACACUUUUUGAAAAUAUAAAAGGUGAUUUCUGCUCAAUGAUAUUAAAUAGCCAUAGUAUUUAUGACUAUGCAAAGGUAGCAUCAUUUGUCUUAAUUAAGACUGGAAUGAAUGGAUGAAUGGGGCAGUGCUUUCUUAGGUUAAAGGUUAAAAAUAAAUUUUUUAGUGAAGAAGCUAAAAUUGAAUUGAGGGACGAGAAGACCCUAUUAAGCUUGAUAUUAUUUUGUUGGGGAAACAAAAGAAUAAAAUUUCUUAAAAAAUUGUUGAUAAAUUUUAGGAUUUAUUAUAAUAAGUUACUAGGACAGCAUAAUUUUUUUUCAAAGUUCAUAUUGACAAAAAAGAUUAUGACCUCGAUGUUGAAU
This 378-nucleotide ribosomal RNA is filed under the name Mongeperipatus kekoldi. RNAcentral describes it as "partial large subunit ribosomal RNA". It matches the Rfam family "Bacterial large subunit ribosomal RNA", at positions 1795 to 2537 of the family's 2925-position model. The record is from RNAcentral. Lineage: Eukaryota; Metazoa; Onychophora; Udeonychophora; Euonychophora; Peripatidae.